GUUGACCUCGGAUCAGGUNNNNNNNNNNNNNNNNNUUAAGCAUAUCAAUAAGCGGAGGAAAAGAAACCAACAGGGAUUCCCCUAGUAACGGCGAGUGAAGCGGGAACAGCUCAAAUUUGAAAUCUGGCCCUCGGGUCCGAGUUGUAAUUUGUAGAGGAUGCUUUUGGUGCGGUGCCUUCCGAGUUCCCUGGAACGGGACGCCUUAGAGGGUGAGAGCCCCGUACGGUUGGACGCCUAGCCUCUGUAAAGCUCCUUCGACGAGUCGAGUAGUUUGGGAAUGCUGCUCUAAAUGGGAGGUAUAUUUCUUCUAAAGCUAAAUACUGGCCAGAGACCGAUAGCGCACAAGUAGAGUGAUCGAAAGAUGAAAAGCACUUUGAAAAGAGGGUUAAAUAGCACGUGAAAUUGUUGAAAGGGAAGCGUUUAUCACCAGACUUUUUCUAGGGGGAUCAUCCGGUGUUCUCACCGGUGCACUUCCCCUGGUUGAGGCCAGCAUCGGUUUUCGGAGGGGGAUAAAAGCUUCGGGAAUGUGACUCCCUCGGGAGUGUUAUAGCCCGUUGCAUAAUACCCUUCUGGGGACCGAGGUUCGCGCAUCUGCAAGGAUGCUGGCAUAAUGGUGAUCAACGACCCGUCUUGAAACACGGACCAAGGAGUCGAACAUUUAUGCGAGUGUUUGGGUGUCAAACCCUCACGCGUAAUGAAAGUGAACGGAGGUGAGAGCCCUUACGGGUGCAUCAUCGACCGAUCCUGAUGUCUUCGGAUGGAUUUGAGUAAGAGCAUAACUGUUCGGACCCGAAAGAUGGUGAACUAUGCGUGGAUAGGGUGAAGCCAGGAGAAAUCCUGGUGGAGGCUCGCAGCGGUUCUGACGUGCAAAUCGAUCGUCAAAUCUGCGCAUGGGGGCGAAAGACUAAUCGAA
This 913-nucleotide ribosomal RNA is filed under the name Nigrospora sphaerica. RNAcentral describes it as "LSU rRNA". It matches the Rfam family "Eukaryotic large subunit ribosomal RNA", at positions 1 to 939 of the family's 3401-position model. Lineage: Eukaryota; Fungi; Ascomycota; Sordariomycetes; Amphisphaeriales; Apiosporaceae. The record is from RNAcentral.